AUUGAACGCUGGCGGCAGGCUUAACACAUGCAAGUCGAGCGGGGGGAGGUAGCUUGCUACCGGGCCUAGCGGCGGACGGGUGAGUAAUGCUUAGGAAUCUGCCUAUUAGUGGGGGACAACAUCUCGAAAGGGAUGCUAAUACCGAAUACGUCCUACGGGAGAAAGCAGGGGAUCUUCGGACCUUGCGCUAAUAGAUGAGCCUAAGUCGGAUUAGCUAGUUGGUGGGGUAAAGGCCUACCAAGGCGACGAUCUGUAGCGGGUCUGAGAGGAUGAUCCGCCACACUGGGACUGAGACACGGCCCAGACUCCUACGGGAGGCAGCAGUGGGGAAUAUUGGACAAUGGGGGGAACCCUGAUCCAGCCAUGCCGCGUGUGUGAAGAAGGCCUUAUGGUUGUAAAGCACUUUAAGCGAGGAGGAGGCUACUUUAGUUAAUACCUAGAGAUAGUGGACGUUACUCGCAGAAUAAGCACCGGCUAACUCUGUGCCAGCCGCCGCAGUAA
Molecule: ribosomal RNA, 501 nt
Filed under: uncultured bacterium
Lineage: Bacteria
Description: partial 16S ribosomal RNA
Rfam family: Bacterial small subunit ribosomal RNA
Source: RNAcentral